This 276-nucleotide ribosomal RNA is filed under the name uncultured bacterium. RNAcentral's name for it is "partial 16S ribosomal RNA". It matches the Rfam family "Bacterial small subunit ribosomal RNA", at positions 79 to 354 of the family's 1533-position model. The record is from RNAcentral.
CUUUCUCCGCCGGCGACCGGCGCACGGGUGAGUAACACGUAUGCAACCUGCCCCUGUCAGGGGGACAACCCGCCGAAAGGCGGGCUAAACCCGCGUACAUGCCACCGGGGCAUCCCGGAGGCAGGAAAGGCUUCGGCCGGACAGGGAUGGGCAUGCGGCGCAUUAGGCAGUAGGCGGGGUAACGGCCCACCUAACCGACGAUGCGUAGGGGUUCUGAGAGGAAGGUCCCCCACACUGGUACCGAGACACGGACCAGACUCCUACGGGAGGCAGCAG